GUCUCUUAAGAGACAUCCAAUAAAAUUGGAAUGAUACAGAAAAUAUUAGCAUGAUGCCUACGCAAGGAUGCCACGCAUAAAUCAAAAAAAGGUCCCCAAAACA
This 103-nucleotide small nuclear RNA is filed under the name Amborella trichopoda. The record is from RNAcentral. Lineage: Eukaryota; Viridiplantae; Streptophyta; Magnoliopsida; Amborellales; Amborellaceae.